Molecule: unclassified non-coding RNA, 216 nt
Filed under: uncultured Tomentella
Lineage: Eukaryota; Fungi; Basidiomycota; Agaricomycetes; Thelephorales; Thelephoraceae
Description: sequence contains ITS2
Source: RNAcentral
ACACCUCAACUCUUGUGGUUUGCCAUAAAGAGCUUGGACUUGGGGGCUUGCUGGCAUACAGCCGGCUCCUCUCAAAUGAAUUAGCCUGCCAGUGUUUGGUGGCGUCACGGGUGUGAUAACUAUCUACGCUUGUGGUUGCCUGCCAGGUAACCUUUGGUGACAGAGGUUCGCUGGAGCUCAUAAACGUCUCUCCUCAGUGGAGACAGCUCUUUGGAC